Etheostoma cragini (Arkansas darter) is the source of this 97-nucleotide long non-coding RNA. RefSeq lists it as uncharacterized. Lineage: Eukaryota; Metazoa; Chordata; Actinopteri; Perciformes; Percidae. The record is from RefSeq and is a predicted model, not a curated record. The transcript has 3 exons.
UGUAAACUAUGCUUUUAGUAUCUAGUAAUUGUUGACUCUAUGACUCCAACUCCGAGCAAACUCCAGGCGAACACUCUGCUCCUCACCACAGUGCUGA